RNAcentral lists this ribosomal RNA (241 nucleotides) under uncultured bacterium. RNAcentral describes it as "partial 16S ribosomal RNA". It matches the Rfam family "Bacterial small subunit ribosomal RNA", at positions 94 to 334 of the family's 1533-position model. The record is from RNAcentral.
AGCGGCGGACGGGUGAGUAACGCGUGGGUAACCUGCCUCAUACAGGGGGAUAACAGCUGGAAAACGGCUGCUAAUACCGCAUAAGCGCACAGUACCGCAUGGUACGGUGUGAAAAACUCCGGUGGUAUGAGAUGGACCCGCGUCUGAUUAGGUAGUUGGUGGGGUAACGGCCUACCAAGCCGACGAUCAGUAGCCGACCUGAGAGGGUGACCGGCCACAUUGGGACUGAGACACGGCCCAA